UUUCCCCCAAAAAAGGCCUCAAACUCCCCCAAAUGCUCUCCUCUACCUGAUUUUCGAUCGUCGGUCCGGCCUUGCUCUGGUCACCGGACUGCCGCGCCUCCGCCGUGGUAGCCGCCUUCCACAGUGGUCGGGAAACCAAAAAAGCCAUUUUCUUCAAGCUUUCGAUUUCCCGAGUUCGUUAGUCACUGAUUUUCAUUAGAAUCGGUGGACCUCGACCGCCCACAACGCCGCGAAUACAAGAGGAAAGGUAAGAUUUGAUCCCCCUUUUUACUGUAUUUGAUAGAUUCAAACGAAAUAAGGAAGAAAAACAAUAAAUAAAAGCAGAGAAAAAAAAACGAUGAAUCAAGAGACCACCUUUGAAGUUAGUUUUUGCUUUGUAUUCGGGUAUCUCAAUGUAUUUCUUAGUAUUGAUUGUGUGUGUGUAAAAAAAAAUACAAAAACCAAUCCCCUUGGCUUUAUAGCCGAACAUAUAUUUCCCUUUUUUACAAUUUGUUUGUUUGUUCUUUUUUUCUAUUUGCUGCUGUGGUGUUUGUCCUUCCUGCAUGUAUUGGAGAGGUGGAGGUGUACGGAGGCAGUAUGAGGGCAGCACAUGGGGCGUACGGAGGCUACUUGGUGGCUACUGCGGCACCUAGCAGAAAAUGAAACCUAGGGUUUCUAUUUCUGAAAAUUUUGGGCCAUUGGGCUUGUUUUCGUUACUGGGCCACUGUAGUUUGGUCUGUUUGGGGGAUUUGGGUGUAAUGGGGUUUUGGGUUUUAAUUUUUAGGGCUUGGUAUAUUUCUGGGCUAAGUUUUAUUAUUGGGCUUGUAAGAAAUGGAUUGAUGAUGGACUUUAAUAUAUUUAUUGUUUUUUUGGUGUUGGUUUGGUUUGUUAAUUGGGCCCAGGAAAAAUUUGGGUUUCACACUCACGACAUCACUAGACUUGCCAUUCAAGUGCUUAAAUUUAGGACUGGUGUAAUCCUUAGGGUAAGGUUUGGCAGCUACCCUAGUAGGGUAUGAUAGUUUGAUAUCAAACUAAAAGAAACCAAGGCUUUUUUUUUUCUUCUAACAACCUUUGCAAUUCCUUUUUGGUGACAAAACCACGGGUUUAGUAGGUUGUGCUAUUAAGGAGGAAACUCUAGCCUAGGAAUUUAUGGUGAGUUAGAUGGUAGAUAUGUUAGCGUUCAAGGUGAUGACUAUGCCAGUUGUCACAGGAAGUACAUGGUUGGAAGCAUAAAAAAAG
This 1218-nucleotide long non-coding RNA is filed under the name Gossypium barbadense (sea-island cotton). RNAcentral's name for it is "long non-coding RNA (GBAR_LNC004631)". Lineage: Eukaryota; Viridiplantae; Streptophyta; Magnoliopsida; Malvales; Malvaceae. The record is from RNAcentral.